AACGAACGCUGGCGGCAUGCCUAACACAUGCAAGUCGAACGAAGUCUUCGGACUUAGUGGCGCACGGGUGCGUAACGCGUGGGAAUCUGCCCUUGGGUGCGGAAUAACUUCUCGAAAGGGAUGCUAAUACCGCAUAAUGUCGUAAGACCAAAGAUUUAUCGCCCAAGGAUGAGCCCGCGUAAGAUUAGCUAGUUGGUGGGGUAAAAGCCUACCAAGGCGACGAUCUUUAGCUGGUCUGAGAGGAUGAUCAGCCACACUGGGACUGAGACACGGCCCAGACUCCUACGGGAGGCAGCAGUUGGGAAUCUUGGACAAUGGGGGAAACCCUGAUCCAGCCAUGCCGCGUGAGUGAUGAAGGCCUUCGGGUUGUAAAACUCUUUCGCGCACGACGAUAAUGACGGUAGUGCGAGAAGAAGCUCCGGCUAACUUCGUGCCAGCAGCCGCGGUAAU
RNAcentral lists this ribosomal RNA (450 nucleotides) under uncultured bacterium. RNAcentral's name for it is "bacterial SSU rRNA". It matches the Rfam family "Bacterial small subunit ribosomal RNA", at positions 29 to 524 of the family's 1533-position model. The record is from RNAcentral.